UAGGGAAUCUUCCACAAUGGGCGAAAACCUGAUGGAGCAACGCCGCGUGUGUGAUGAAGGGUUUCGGCUCGUAAAAUACUGUUGUAAGAGAAGAAUGACAUUGAGAGUAACUGUUCAAUGUGUGACGGUAUCUUACCAGAAAGGAACGGCUAAAUACGUGCUAG
Molecule: ribosomal RNA, 164 nt
Filed under: uncultured bacterium
Lineage: Bacteria
Description: partial 16S ribosomal RNA
Rfam family: Bacterial small subunit ribosomal RNA
Source: RNAcentral